AUACUUACCUGGCAGGGGAGACACCAUGAUCAUGAAGGUGGUUUUCCCAGGAUGAGGCUCAUCUGUUCCAGUCCAGGUAUUCUGACUCCUGUGAUUUCCCCAAAUGGAGGAAACUCAAUUGCAUAAUUUGUAGUAGUGUAUUUGUGCUUU
RNAcentral lists this small nuclear RNA (150 nucleotides) under Salvator merianae (Argentine black and white tegu). Its description in RNAcentral is "U1 spliceosomal RNA (ENSSMRG00000013388.1)". It matches the Rfam family "U1 spliceosomal RNA". Rfam says of the family: U1 is a small nuclear RNA (snRNA) component of the spliceosome (involved in pre-mRNA splicing). Its 5' end forms complementary base pairs with the 5' splice junction, thus defining the 5' donor site of an intron. There are significant differences in sequence and secondary structure between metazoan and yeast U1 snRNAs, the latter being much longer (568 nucleotides as compared to 164 nucleotides in human). The record is from RNAcentral. Lineage: Eukaryota; Metazoa; Chordata; Lepidosauria; Squamata; Teiidae.